RNAcentral lists this ribosomal RNA (116 nucleotides) under Amphilophus citrinellus (Midas cichlid). The record is from RNAcentral. Lineage: Eukaryota; Metazoa; Chordata; Actinopteri; Cichliformes; Cichlidae.
UGCAGCCGUGCCACCCUGAGCACACCCGAUCUUGUCUGAUCUUGGAAACUAAGCAGCAUUGGGCCUGGUUAGUACUUGGAUGGGCGACUGCCUGGGAAUGCCAAGUGCUGUAAGAU